RNAcentral lists this ribosomal RNA (487 nucleotides) under uncultured bacterium. Its description in RNAcentral is "bacterial SSU rRNA". It matches the Rfam family "Bacterial small subunit ribosomal RNA", at positions 33 to 507 of the family's 1533-position model. The record is from RNAcentral.
GACGACGCUGGCGGCGUGGAUUAGGCAUGCAAGUCGAACGGUAGGAUACCUUCGGGUAUCUGAGAGUGGCGAACGGGUGAGUAACACGUAGGUGAUCUACCCUCAAGAUUGGGACAACCCAGGGAAACUUGGGCUAAUACCGGAUGAAAGCAGCAGUGAUGUUGUUUGAAAGGUGGCGUAAGCUGCCGUUUGGGGAUGAGCCUGCGCUCUAUUAGUUAGUUGGCGGGGUAAAGGCCCACCAAGGCGAUGAUAGAUAGGCGGCCUUAACGGGUGGUCGCCCACACUGGGAUCGAGAUACGGCCCAGACUCCUACGGGAGGCAGCAGUCGAGAAUAGUCUACAAUGGCCGAAAGGCUGAUAGUGCGACGCCGCGUGAACGAAGAAGCCCUUCGGGGUGUAAAGUUCUUUUAUAUGUGAGCAGUGCUUUCUAUGUGGACAGCAUGGGGAGAGAGAUAUUAGCAUAUGAAUAAGCAACGGCUAACUCCGUG